Molecule: ribosomal RNA, 253 nt
Filed under: uncultured bacterium
Lineage: Bacteria
Description: partial 16S ribosomal RNA
Rfam family: Bacterial small subunit ribosomal RNA
Source: RNAcentral
GACGUAGGGCGCGAGCGUUGUCCGGAUUUAUUGGGCGUAAAGAGCUCGUAGGCGGCUUGUUGCGUCGAUCGUGAAAACUUGGGGCUUAACCCUAAGCUUGCGGUUGAUACGGGCAGGCUAGAGUUCGGUAGGGGAGACUGGAAUUCCUGGUGUAGCGGUGAAAUGCGCAGAUAUCAGGAGGAACACCGGUGGCGAAGGCGGGUCUCUGGGCCGAUACUGACGCUGAGGAGCGAAAGCGUGGGGAGCGAACAGG